Long non-coding RNA from Corvus moneduloides (New Caledonian crow), 2384 nucleotides. The record is from Ensembl. NCBI's taxonomy places the organism in Eukaryota, Metazoa, Chordata, Aves, Passeriformes, Corvidae.
CUGAGCAGGACUUUGUUGGGGGUGGGGGGGGGGGCAUCUUUGCUACCUGAUGGUGGCGGGGAGAGGUCCUGUGAGCAUCUGAGAGGGAGUGGAGGGAAGGAACAUGAAACUGUACUGAUAGCAAAGUUGUCACUGCACAUUCAUCAGCCAUGAUACACACCCCGGUCAGUUUUAUGGCAGAUGAGGGCUUUAUGCUUGGGCAAGGGAUCAGCUGUGUAUUGUUCAUCUCUCUUGUUCACAGGAAAACAGCUUUGUAUAAGCUGGAAAAUAAAUAGGAUUGCAUCAGAGAAAUGCAUGGCCCCAUCAUCACCUAUUUUCCUCUUUAUCACCCCAGCUACGGAACCAGGCUCUCUGCUAUCAGCACAGCUUGGAAAGGGUUACGCACGGCAGAAUCUGGCAGAUCUCUGCGCAGAAGAAACCAAACCCAGUGGUCUCCAUUCAAAGAGCUGCUGGUACUUGCAAGAAGCACUGUCCCCGUGGAGAGCACUGCUCCAUCUGGCCUCCACAACUCGCUUUUUCAUAUCCUUUCCCAUGCACAUUCCUCAGGACAUUGGCCUUCAUGCCUCUGGGGACAGGAGGAAAACAUUUUGCUUUCUGUUUUUAGAGAGGCUGAUGCUUUUUCUGCAGCUCCCUCCGGGUCUUGCAUUCUCUCUGAGACUAAUGCAGGCAGUAACCCCUCAAAAGACUGAACAAACACCCUUGUCCUAGUUGCUUGUGCACAGUCCUGGGAAUCUUGCCCUGCACUUUCCUCCUCCUGACCUUGUUUUCAUCGGAACACCACAGCAGUAAUUACCCUGAGGUUGAAGGGUUAUUCGAAAGCAAGUACUGUGUCUUGUGUGCUCCCUCCUUUCCAGCUGUUUUUACUCCCUACACUGGAGUUAAACUCUACCUGGAGUUUUCUUUGUGUUGUUACUAAUUUAGGGAAACACCAGCAGUGAGGUUGGUGGGUGUGGGUGGGAAUACGUGUCCAAUUCCAUGCGUUUCUUGUUCUCUGGUGCUCUGAGAAGUCACCAGCACGCUGGGGCAGCUGGACCUGCCACUGGGUCUCUCCCUGGGGUGUCGUUCAUAGUCUGAGUGCUCUCAUGGGCUCUGGUUGACUGUGCCUGACAAAAGCAUUAGCUGGACACUGGAGUGGAGGUGGGAAGACUGGUCAAAGUGCAUGGCAUGCAGCUGGACUGCCCAGCUCAUGGAUGGCUGCCGUGGCUGCACUGCCAAAGGCAGAAAUGUAGCAACACUCAGACAGACUCAACACAUAAAUACGAGCGGCCCAAGUGUCUGAGGUGGGUUAGUUAAUGCUGAAAUGGAGGGUUUUGCAAGAAGAGAUAAAAUCAGCUUCACGUUUAGGAGGAGGGUUUGGAGUGGAUUUCCAUUACAGGGUCAAGUGAUCCAGCAUUCCUGUGCUGUGCAGUGCUCUUUUCCAAAGAAUUUGCUGCUGAAUAUGGAUUUAGCCUGAAUAUGCUUUAGCCUUCCAGGGCUAAAUAUGUUUCUGCCUUCCAGGGUAGAGCUCCCCACAGGGCACCAGUUCCUUUCAAGAGCAUGGCUGGGCUUUUCCAGUUCUUGGGCACAACUCAAAAAGGAGCUAGUUUGUGGCCAAACCAGUGGAGCUGUGGUGUAGUGCUUUGGGCAGAAAGCUGUUAUGUCACUCCCAAUCCCUCUCAUAUAUUCGCCUGACCUAGCUGCAAGCUGUUUUCCUUGAUGCUAGUUAGGAGGGACUUGGGAAAACCCCCUGUCACUGGAUGACAAGGAUGGCACAGGGCACUUGUGUUCCCUGUCCAUCGGAGGGGAAGCCCUCUCCAGCUUUCAUCCCACCCAGGGAGAGAAAAGUGGGGUUUCUGCUGCAAAACAGCUCUUCCUUCUGCCAAGUGCUGGCAGCCCCCAGUACAUUCCAGUCCAACUCUGCACCCUCUGCCUGCCAACGAGGGCUGGGAGCCAUGGGCACUGCCAGCCUCAGAAAGUCCCUACCGGCCACCCGCGGGCCAAGAUCUGGCGUGGCGUGAGCCAGCGGUCCCCCUCACUGGACCAUCAGCAGCGUGGCCGCGGUGGCUCUCACUUCCAGAGACACCUUUGCUGCCUUGCUCCCGGUACCCCCCGCGCUGCCUGCACCCUGGGUCCGCGCACCCUCGGCCGGGCUGUGCCCCGGGCUGUGCCCCGCCGGCGGGGCCGGUCCCGCCCCGGGGGCGGGCGGCGGAGCACGUGGGGCCGCGCCGGGCCGGGCUGAGUCACCGCCCGCCCCGAGCCCCGCGGCGGAGCCGAGCCGAGCGGAGCCGAGCCGAGCGGAGCCGAGCCGAGCCGAGCCGAGCCGAGCGGAGCCGAGCCGAGCGGAGCCGAGCCGAGCCGAGCCGAGCGGAGCCGAGCCGAGCGGAGCGGCUGGCUGAGGAGCGCAC